This 61-nucleotide ribosomal RNA is filed under the name Enterococcus faecium. Its description in RNAcentral is "partial 16S ribosomal RNA". It matches the Rfam family "Bacterial small subunit ribosomal RNA", at positions 1 to 61 of the family's 1533-position model. Lineage: Bacteria; Bacillati; Bacillota; Bacilli; Lactobacillales; Enterococcaceae. The record is from RNAcentral.
UUUUAUGAGAGUUUAAUCCUGGCUCAGGACGAACGCUGGCGGCGUGCCUAAUACAUGCAAG